GAUGAACGCUGGCGGCGUGCUUAACACAUGCAAGUCGAACGAUGAAGCCCAGCUUGCUGGGUGGAUUAGUGGCGAACGGGUGAGUAACACGUGAGUAACCUGCCCUUAACUCUGGGAUAAGCCUGGGAAACUGGGUCUAAUACCGGAUAGGAGCGCCUACCGCAUGGUGGGGGUUGGAAAAAUUUAGCGGUUUUGCCUGGCUCCGGGGCCCAUCAGCUUGUUGGGGUGGUAAUGGCUAACAAAGGCGCAGCCGGGUAGCCGGCAUGGGAGUGUGACCGGCCACACUGGGACUGAGACACGGCCCAGACUCCUACGGGAGGCAGCGGGGGGGAAUAUUGCACAAUGGGCGAAAGCCUGAUGCAGCGACGCCGCGUGAGGGAUGACGGCCUUCGGGUUGUAAACCUCUUUCAGUAGGGAAGAAGCGAAAGUGACGGUACCUGCAGAAGAAGCACCGGCUAACUACGUG
Molecule: ribosomal RNA, 466 nt
Filed under: uncultured bacterium
Lineage: Bacteria
Description: partial 16S ribosomal RNA
Rfam family: Bacterial small subunit ribosomal RNA
Source: RNAcentral